AAUAAACAAAUCUUUUACUUUUUAUCUACAAUGUUUGAAUAUUCGUCUUAUUCAAAAAAUAUAUAAUUAAUAUUUUUGUUUUUAUUAGAUGAUAUAUCAUGAAUAGUAUUUUACGUGCGACUAAUUUUUUUCAAUUCCUUAACAAAAAUUAAAUAAAAUGGAUGGUUAAACGCUAGACACGAAAACCGAAAGUUUGUCUUAGG
RNAcentral lists this microRNA precursor (203 nucleotides) under Oryza brachyantha (malo sina). Its description in RNAcentral is "MIR812 microRNA precursor family". It matches the Rfam family "MIR812 microRNA precursor family". Lineage: Eukaryota; Viridiplantae; Streptophyta; Magnoliopsida; Poales; Poaceae. The record is from Rfam by way of RNAcentral.